Molecule: ribosomal RNA, 492 nt
Filed under: uncultured bacterium
Lineage: Bacteria
Description: partial 16S ribosomal RNA
Rfam family: Bacterial small subunit ribosomal RNA
Source: RNAcentral
AGUGAACGCUGGCGGUAGGCCUAACACAUGCAAGUCGAACGGCAGCACAGUAAGAGCUUGCUCUUACGGGUGGCGAGUGGCGGACGGGUGAGGAAUACAUCGGAAUCUACUUUUUCGUGGGGGAUAACGUAGGGAAACUUACGCUACUACCGCAUACGACCUACGGGUGAAAGCAGGGGAUCUUCGGACCUUGCGCGAUUGAAUGAGCCGAUGUCGGAUUAGCUAGUUGGCGGGGUAAAGGCCCACCAAGGCGACGAUCCGUAGCUGGUCUGAGAGGAUGAUCAGCCACACUGGAACUGAGACACGGUCCAGACUCCUACGGGAGGCAGCAGUGGGGAAUAUUGGACAAUGGGCGCAAGCCUGAUCCAGCCAUACCGCGUGAGUGAAGAAGGCCUUCGGGUUGUAAAGCCCUUUUGUUGGGAAAGAAAAGCAGCAGGUUAAUACCCCGCUGUUCUGACGGUACCCAAAGAAUAAGCACCGGCUAACUUCGUG